This 478-nucleotide ribosomal RNA is filed under the name uncultured bacterium. RNAcentral describes it as "partial 16S ribosomal RNA". It matches the Rfam family "Bacterial small subunit ribosomal RNA", at positions 28 to 523 of the family's 1533-position model. The record is from RNAcentral.
GACGAACGCUGGCGGCGUGCUUAACACAUGCAAGUCGAACGGUAAGGCCCUUCGGGGUACACGAGUGGCGAACGGGUGAGUAACACGUGGGUGAUCUGCCCUGCACUUCGGGAUAAGCCUGGGAAACUGGGUCUAAUACCGGAUAGGACUCCUGCCUGCAUGGGUGGGGGUGGAAAGCUUUUGCGGUGUGGGAUGGGCCCGCGGCCUAUCAGCUUGUUGGUGGGGUGAUGGCCUACCAAGGCGACGACGGGUAGCCGGCCUGAGGGGGUGACCGGCCCCACUGGGACUGAGAUACGGCCCAGACUCCUACGGGAGGCAGCAGUGGGGAAUAGUGCACAAUGGGCGCAAGCCUGAUGCAGCGACGCCGCGUGAGGGAUGACGGCCUUCGGGUUGUAAACCUCUUUCAGCACCGACGAAGCGCAAGUGACGGUAGGUGCAGAAGAAGGACCGGCCAACUACGUGCCAGCCGCCGCAGUAA